CCUACGGGUGGCAGCAGUGGGGAAUAUUGGGCAAUGGGCGCAAGCCUGACCCAGCAACGCCGCGUGAAGGAAGAAGGCUUUCGGGUUGUAAACUUCUUUUCUCAGGGACGAAGCAAGUGACGGUUCCUGAGUCAUAAGCCACGGCUAACUACGUGCCAGCAGCCGCGGUAAUACGUAGGUGGCAAGCGUUAUCCGGAUUUACUGGGUGUAAAGGGCGGGUAGGCGGGGACGCAAGUCAGAUGUGAAAACCACGGGCUCAACCUGUGGCCUGCAUUUGAAACUGUGUGUCUUGAGUACUGGAGAGGCAGACGGAAUUCCAAGUGUAGCGGUGAAAUGCGUAGAUAUUAGGAGGAACACCAGUGGCGAAGGCGGUCUGCUGGACAGCAACUGACGCUGAGGCGCGAAAGCGUGGGGAGCAAACAGGAUUAGAUACCCCGGUAGUC
This 443-nucleotide ribosomal RNA is filed under the name uncultured bacterium. Its description in RNAcentral is "partial 16S ribosomal RNA". It matches the Rfam family "Bacterial small subunit ribosomal RNA", at positions 338 to 795 of the family's 1533-position model. The record is from RNAcentral.